This 492-nucleotide ribosomal RNA is filed under the name uncultured bacterium. Its description in RNAcentral is "partial 16S ribosomal RNA". It matches the Rfam family "Bacterial small subunit ribosomal RNA", at positions 29 to 507 of the family's 1533-position model. The record is from RNAcentral.
AGUGAACGCUGGCGGUAGGCCUAACACAUGCAAGUCGAACGGCAGCACAGUAAGAGCUUGCUCUUACGGGUGGCGAGUGGCAGACGGGUGAGGAAUACAUCGGAAUCUACUUUUUCGUGGGGGAUAACGUAGGGAAACUUACGCUAAUACCGCAUACGACCUACGGGUGAAAGUAGGGGAUCUUCGGACCUUGCGCGAUUGAAUGAGCCGAUGUCGGAUUAGCUAGUUGGCGGGGUAAAGGCCCACCAAGGCGACGAUCCGUAGCUGGUCUGAGAGGAUGAUCAGCCACACUGGAACUGAGACACGGUCCAGACUCCUACGGGAGGCAGCAGUGGGGAAUAUUGGACAAUGGGCGCAAGCCUGAUCCAGCCAUACCGCGUGGGUGAAGAAGGCCUUCGGGUUGUAAAGCCCUUUUGUUGGGAAAGAAAAGCAGCAGGUUAAUACCCCGCUGUUCUGACGGUACCCAAAGAAUAAGCACCGGCUAACUUCGUG